Long non-coding RNA from Branchiostoma belcheri (Belcher's lancelet), 3750 nucleotides. RefSeq lists it as uncharacterized. The transcript is spliced from 7 exons. NCBI's taxonomy places the organism in Eukaryota, Metazoa, Chordata, Leptocardii, Amphioxiformes, Branchiostomatidae. The record is from RefSeq and is a predicted model, not a curated record.
GCCCUACCCAUGACUCUCAAAGUGGUGAUCGUUUGACAGUUGAGAUAUUUUCUGACGUUUGUGAUGAUGUCUGCGCAACAACUGCUAUAGAUGGAUUAGCACAAGCCGGGACCGAGUACAAACAUUCCUUUGGCGCUUCCGAUUUUGGUGAUCCCACGAUGAUUUCACUUACAACUUCAGGAGAUGACCAGCUCAUUCUAGACUGGGUUGAAGUAUACAAUGGUGAGACUAAGAAAUUCUACCAUUUUAGCUGUCCCUCUAAUGGUUGCCGCUUAUCAACUGAUCCCAAAGAGGGUGACCAACAGGUAGUCUUAGACGUUGAUGCGCAUCACACCCUAACACUCAGGACCAGCGCUACUAGAGAUUCAAAAAGUUCCGAUUCUCUGACAGUUAGCAUAUAUUCUGACGUUUGUGAUAAUGUCUGCAAGACAAUGGUUUUUUCUGGACAUACAGAAGACGGGACCGAAUACGAACAUCCCUUUCCCGCUCCCGACUUUGGUGAUCCGACAGUGAUUCGACUUCAAAUUUCAGGAAACGACGAACUCAUACUAGACUGGGUUGAGGUAUUCAAUGUUUAUACUGGGAAAUACUAUCGUUUUCCCUGUCCCAGUAACGGUUGCCAUUUAUCAAAGGAUAACGCUGAGGCUAACUGGCAGAUGUUCUUACAUGUCGAUGUCUAGAGGGAAGAGGACCAAGUGAAUACACAGAUGCAUCAUCCACUACAGAAACCGAGUCAACACCAUCUAGGCUUUACCAGCUCUGCACCGUUUUCAUCAGCAUCUGUAUGUUUCUAGGCUUUUCCAUUGUUUUAAUCAACAUCUGUAUCUUUAUACAACUUAAUAAAAGUAGACAGAGAUUAGUUGGUGGUUUAUAACAUGAUAGAGAGGUACUGUGGUCGAAACUUAGUGUAGCUGACUUUGGAACUGCAAAUACUAUGCAAGUGGCUUUGGUGUCAAUCUACUGAGUGUACUAGUUACGGAUUCAUAUACUAUUCCUUUAAAACUGGGGGAGGAAUUGCUAAAACUAAGUAGAAUGGCUAGAAUGUUUACCUAGCAAUUGAUUUCAUUGACUUCUGUGGUAGGCAUUUUUCUUUUUUUGUUUUACGCUAUGUUGCACUCGUAGCAGGCCAGGCUUAGAACUUAUUACUUAGUCUAGCUCAAACCGUUUGAGCUUUGCUAACAAUACGGAUAGUAUAUAAUAACAUUCGUCGUUUAAUUUGCUCUUUUGGUGUGUGCAAUGGAUUUCCGAGUUUUUAGUGGUAUACCAUGGCAAUCAAAACGGGCAGCUUGCUCUCGUUGAUGUAAAUACUUUAAUAAUUUUUCUGUGAGGACUUGAGCAGUAGGACUUUGAUGAUAGUUUUUCUGCAACACAAUGUCUAUUAUCAUUGUUAUUGGUGAAUCUUACUUUCUGGGUGUAAAGUUCAAAGCUGUGCCAUUAGGAAAGAUAGGCAUGUAGUCAGGAUUAGAUAACAACUCUUAAACAUAUUUUAGGCAUAGGAAAAAAUGUUACGCUUCCUGUUUCCCUACCGACCAUAGAAAAACCUGCCGACCCUAGACUUUUUUUUGGGGGGGGGGGUGGAUCCUUGAAAGGGACAUAAAUUUUCGAGCUGAUCAACCUUUUCUAGCCCCAUGAUCUGACAGCUGAUUAAAAACAUUGUACAAUUGGUUUUUAAAUAUUGACAUUAAAAAAAAAAGAAUAUCAUGCAGGUUUUAAUUUGUUAAACUGUAUUGUAUAAGUUGGACCCGUUUAUAGAUAUCACUGUUUAUAGAUAUAAGUCUAAAAAAGAACAAAAAAAGAUAAUCCCUUCCUACCGACCCUAAUUUUUCCAGAACUGAAACAGGAAACACAACAUUUGUUUCCUAGGCCUUACAUCAUUUAGCAUUGGUAGGUCACUAACAUCACGGAAACCUCCAAUGCCUUUUCGAAAUCGUACCAUCACAGAGAUUAAGAUUUAUGAAUGACAAGAAUUUGUCAGAAGAAGUAAGAACCUUGUGAUGUGAAAAAAAACAUCUUAUAUUGCUUAGCAUUGGUAUUUCACUAACAUCAAGAAAAACCUCCAAUGCUUUAAAUACAUUGUACCAUCACAAAGAUUAAGUUUCUAAGCUGCGCUAUUAGGAAACGAUAGGUAUAUAGUUAAUCAAGUAAGGACCUUGUGAUGAAAAAACACAAUUGUUUAACACCUACAAAUUGUUUAGCUCUAUUGGUUUGCCUCCAAUACCUUUUCAGACGCUUUGCCAUCACAAAGAUUAAGUUUUUACGCCGCGCUAUUAGGAAACGAUAAGCAUAGAGUCACAACAAGUAAGGACCUUGUGAUGAAAAAACCAAUUUCAACAUCUAACAUCGGUUAACAUUGGUUGGUCAAUAACAUAAUGAAUCCUCCAAUACUAUAGAAAGUGUACCAUCACAACGAUUAAGUUUUUCAAGCCGUGCUAUUAGGAAACGAUAAGAAUAUAGUUACAACAAGUAAGGACCUUGUGAUGAAAAAAAAGAGCAAUUAGUUGACACCUACAUAUUGUUCAGUGUUGGUGGUUUACCUCCAAUGCCUUUGAAGACAUUUACCGUCACAAAGAUUAAGUUUAUCUGAGCUGUGCUAUUAGGAAACGAUAAGCAUAAAGUUAGGAACAAGUAAGGACCUUGUGAUGAAAAAAAAUGUUUGACAUCUACACAUUGUUUAGCUUUGGUAGGUAACCUCCAUUGUUUUUGGUAGGCUAACUCCAAUGCUUUUGAAAGAAGUCACAAUGAUUAAGAUUUUAAAUGUUAAGGUUUGCUUGCAAUUUUGCGGCUUGUAAGGUAUAGGUAUGAUAAGUGACAGCCCUGUAAUUAUGCAGUGUGUAACAUCUGUCUUCAGUUGGAAGUCAAACUGAUUUUUACAGACUGUCUUAUUUUUUAUAUUCAAUUUCAUAAGAAACGUUAAUGCACUAACGACAAGAGAAGUACAAUGUGGUUGAGUUAAAGUGUUAAACACCGGUUUGUUGUAAGAUGAUCGAAUCCAUCAGAAUGGUUCUCCUCACAGAGCUACAACUCUUUAAUUAUAUACUAAGUGCUAUUUUAAUACCUUAUAUGGCUUAUUUUAGAUCAAGUAGGCACCUGGCGAUCAGUCUUGUUCAUCGCCUAGGAGACACCUGAACUGAGCACUUUAUUGUGUUUCUGGAACCAUCUUUUGUUUGUUGCAUUGCAGAACUUUUGCACUUUGUAAGACAAGUUAGAAAAUCAAUUUGUACAACAGGACCAGUGUAGGGUAACUGCGGGUAGACAUAAAGAUACCUGCACAUUUCCAAUUGAACACCAAACCUGUUCGACCUAAAGUUCGUUCUAAAACAAAUAUCUAAUCCAUAUUUUGCAAUACUAUACUGCAAUUGUCCUGUGCAACAUAACCCCUAAUAUACCACCAAAUUGUCUCCGGGGUUUGUCAAUUCUAGAUCGUCAUGAUUCAAGUUACAAUUUUUUAUCAUGCUCUUUUAUUGAAAUAGUGUGUAGGUAAUAAUGAAGCUACAACAUGUUCGCACACAUGGAACCCUCCGGUAACAUCAUGGGGAAGACGGAUAUGUAUUUUAACCUUUGAUUUUAUUGACUGAUUUUUCCACCACGUCAGCUUGUCAGUUUUAUCUUACAUCAACCAUCUGUCAGUUCUUGAAAUAUGUUGUCAAUCAAAGGACACACUAUCUGUAUGUGUACACAUAUAUAAGUAAGAUGCCUCGAACAACAUGGCAUCAAUACCAAGGCACAAAAGAUCUUCAGAAAUGUAUCAUC